This 498-nucleotide ribosomal RNA is filed under the name uncultured bacterium. RNAcentral's name for it is "partial 16S ribosomal RNA". It matches the Rfam family "Bacterial small subunit ribosomal RNA", at positions 28 to 507 of the family's 1533-position model. The record is from RNAcentral.
GACGAACGCUGGCGGCAUGCCUAACACAUGCAAGUCGAACGGAGAUUAUUUCGGUAAUCUUAGUGGCGAACGGGUGAGUAACGCGUGGGCAACCCGCCCUCUAGAUGGGGACAACAUCCCGAAAGGGGUGCUAAUACCGAAUGUGACAGCAAUCUCGCAUGAGGAUGCUGUGAAAGAUGGCCUCUAUUUAUAAGCUAUCGCUAGAGGAUGGGCCUGCGUCUGAUUAGCUAGUUGGUGGGGUAACGGCCUACCAAGGCGAUGAUCAGUAGCCGGUCUGAGAGGAUGAACGGCCACAUUGGGACUGAGACACGGCCCAGACUCCUACGGGAGGCAGCAGUGGGGAAUCUUCCGCAAUGGGCGAAAGCCUGACGGAGCAAUGCCGCGUGAGUGAUGAAGGAAUUCGUUCCGUAAAGCUCUUUUGUUUAUGACGAAUGUGCAGAUUGUGAACAAUGAUCUGUAAUGACGGUAGUAAACGAAUAAGCCACGGCUAACUACGUG